UGACUCUGUUCAACGGCCGCGGUAUCCUAACCGUGCGAAGGUAGCGUAAUCACUUGUUCUUUAAAUGAGGACUAGUAUGAAUGGCACCACGAAGGUUAUACUGUCUCCUUUUUCUAAUCAGUGAAACUAAUCUUCCCGUGAAGAAGCGGGAAUAUAAAUAUAAGACGAGAAGACCCUAUGGAGCUUUAAACAAACAUACAACUGCCUUCUUUUAUAAAUAUUUCAGAAGAAAACUUUUAUUUAGGCAUUUUGAUAUAGAGUUUUAGGUUGGGGUGACCACGGAGUAAAAAACAACCUCCGCAAUGAAAGGGACUCUUCCCCUAAGCUAAGGGCUACAACCCUAAGAAUCAAAAAAUUGACACCAAUUGACCCAAUAUAUUUGAUCAAUGAACCAAGUUACCCUAGGGAUAACAGCGCAAUCCACUUCAAGAGCCCCUAUCGACAAGUGGGUUUACGACCUCGAUGUUGGAUCAGGGUAUCCUAGUGGUGCAGCCGCUACUAACGG
Molecule: ribosomal RNA, 505 nt
Filed under: Leptodactylus longirostris (longnose frog)
Lineage: Eukaryota; Metazoa; Chordata; Amphibia; Anura; Leptodactylidae
Description: partial large subunit ribosomal RNA
Rfam family: Bacterial large subunit ribosomal RNA
Source: RNAcentral